This 406-nucleotide ribosomal RNA is filed under the name uncultured bacterium. RNAcentral describes it as "partial 16S ribosomal RNA". It matches the Rfam family "Bacterial small subunit ribosomal RNA", at positions 29 to 526 of the family's 1533-position model. The record is from RNAcentral.
AUUGAACGCUGGCGGCAGGCUUAACACAUGCAAGUCGAGCGAGCGGCGGACGGGUGAGUAAUGUCUGGGAAACCGACUGAUGGAGGGGGAUAACUACUGGAAACGGUAGCUAAUACCGCAUACCACUAGAUGCGCCCAGAUGGGAUUAGCUAGUAGGUGGGGUAAUGGCUCACAUAGGCGACGAUCCCUAGUUGGUCUGAGAGGAGGACAAGCCAAACUGGAACUGAGACAAGGUCCAGACUCCUACGAGAGGCAGCAGUGGGGAAUAUUGCACAAGGGGCGCAAGCCUGAUGCAGCCAUGCCGCGUGUGUGAAGAAGGCAUUCGGGUUGUAAAGCACUUGCAGCGAGGAGGCGUUACUCGCAGAAGAAGCACCGGCUAACUCCGUGCCAGCAGCCGCGGUAAUAC